AUACAUGCAGUCGUACGCUUCUUUUUCCACCGGAGCUUGCUCCACCGGAAAAAGAAGAGUGGCGAACGGGUGAGUAACACGUGGGUAACCUGCCCAUCAGAAGGGGAUAACACUUGGAAACAGGUGCUAAUACCGUAUAACAAUCGAAACCGCAGGGUUUUGAUUUGAAAGGCGCUUUCGGGUGUCGCUGAUGGAUGGACCCGCGGUGCAUUAGCUAGUUGGUGAGGUAACGGCUCACCAAGGCCACGAUGCAUAGCCGACCUGAGAGGGUGAUCGGCCACAUUGGGACUGAGACACGGCCCAAACUCCUACGGGAGGCAGCAGUAGGGAAUCUUCGGCAAUGGACGAAAGUCUGACCGAGCAACGCCGCGUGAGUGAAGAAGGUUUUCGGAUCGUAAAACUCUGUUGUUAGAGAAGAACAAGGAUGAGAGUAACUGUUCAUCCCUUGACGGUAUCUAACCAGAAAGCCACGGCUAACUACGUGCCAGCAGCCGCGGUAAUACGUAGGUGGCAAGCGUUGUCCGGAUUUAUUGGGCGUAAAGCGAGCGCAGGCGGUUUCUUAAGUCUGAUGUGAAAGCCCCCGGCUCAACCGGGGAGGGUCAUUGGAAACUGGGAGACUUGAGUGCAGAAGAGGAGAGUGGAAUUCCAUGUGUAGCGGUGAAAUGCGUAGAUAUAUGGAGGAACACCAGUGGCGAAGGCGGCUCUCUGGUCUGUAACUGACGCUGAGGCUCGAAAGCGUGGGGAGCAAACAGGAUUAGAUACCCUGGUAGUCCACGCCGUAAACGAUGAGUGCUAAGUGUUGGAGGGUUUCCGCCCUUCAGUGCUGCAGCUAACGCAUUAAGCACUCCGCCUGGAGAGUACGACCGCAAGGUUGAAACUCAAAGGAAUUGACGGGGGCCCGCACAAGCGGUGGAGCAUGUGGUUUAAUUCGAAGCAACGCGAAGAACCUUACCAGGUCUUGACAUCCUUUGACCACUCUAGAGAUAGAGCUUCCCCUUCGGGGGCAAAAUGACAGGGGGUGCAAGGGUGUC
RNAcentral lists this ribosomal RNA (1031 nucleotides) under Enterococcus faecium. RNAcentral describes it as "bacterial SSU rRNA". It matches the Rfam family "Bacterial small subunit ribosomal RNA", at positions 51 to 1053 of the family's 1533-position model. Lineage: Bacteria; Bacillati; Bacillota; Bacilli; Lactobacillales; Enterococcaceae. The record is from RNAcentral.